Molecule: ribosomal RNA, 656 nt
Filed under: uncultured organism
Description: bacterial SSU rRNA
Rfam family: Bacterial small subunit ribosomal RNA
Source: RNAcentral
CUCAGGAUGAACGCUAGCGGGAGGCUUAACACAUGCAAGUCGAGGGGCAGCAUUGUAGCUUGCUACAGAUGGCGACCGGCGCACGGGUGAGUAACGCGUAUGCAACCUGCCUUUUACAGGGGGGAUAGCCCAGAGAAAUUUGGAUUAAUACCCCAUAGUAUCAAUUUACCGCAUGGUAAGUUGAUUAAAGAUUUAUCGGUAAAAGAUGGGCAUGCGUGGCAUUAGCUGGUUGGUAAGGUAACGGCUUACCAAGGCGACGAUGCCUAGGGGUUCUGAGAGGAUGACCCCCCACACUGGUACUGAGACACGGACCAGACUCCUACGGGAGGCAGCAGUGAGGAAUAUUGGUCAAUGGGCGAGAGCCUGAACCAGCCAUCCCGCGUGAAGGAAGACUGCCCUAUGGGUUGUAAACUUCUUUUCUGCACCAAGAACGUGCCCUACGUGUAAGGCAGUGACGGUAGUGCAGGAAUAAGCAUCGGCUAACUCCGUGCCAGCAGACGCGGUAAUACGGAGGAUGCGAGCGUUAUCCGGAUUCAUUGGGUAUAAAGGGUGCGUAGGCGGCUUCUUAAGUCAGUGGUGAAAUACUGCGGAUCAACCGUAAAACUGCCAUUGACACUGGGGGGAUUGAAUACAGAUGAAGUAAGCGGAAAUGAGUA